GGCACAUGCCACUAUGCCCAGCUACUUUUUGUAUUUUUAGUAGAGGUGGGGUCUCACCAUCUCUACUGACCUGACCUGAUGGGGUCAGGCUGGUCUCGAACUCCUGACCUCGUGAUCCACCUGCCUCGGCCUCCCAAAAUGCUCGGAUUAUAGGUGUGAGCCACUGUGCCUGGUCUCUUGGCUUUUUCUUUAAAAUAUACCCAAUUAUUUCUCACCAUCUCCCUGCCAAUGCCCAUCAGCCUAGUCAUGGUGAGUGCCAUCGUCUCAUCAUUUGGGUUGCUGCAAUCCUCUUCUAUUGUUGACUCCACCCCUUGUAGUCUAUUCUCAACCAAGCAUUGAGGCAAUCCUUUUGUCAGCAGAUUAUGUCACUCUGCUUAAAUUCCUAGAUUGGCUUUUUGUUACAAUGACCUUCAAAGGGCAGAUUUGCAGAAGACCGAUCCCUUCUAGAAUUAAUCUCUGUGCCUUCUCUGGUAACUAUGGCAAUAAUGGCAAUGUCACUGUGUCCCUCUGAAUGACUGAUUUCCACUGGAGGUACCAUGUUCAGGGCCAGGCAGGAGUUGGAGAGAGCUUAGGUCAGGAUGGACUUGAACUGCCAAAGUUCCCAUCAGUUCUGUGGUUAGUAUAUGUCCCUUUCAAGUGGAGGCACAUGCAAACAGCAAAAAGAUGCUUCUUCAAACUGAACCAAAGUUGGAAUUAAGAGAAACGUGCUAGUAAGUUUCAUGGAAUAUGAAAGUAUCUUCAUUGCAAUUAGUUUUAAGACCCUGGCCCUAAGCUUUCCUUCCUCCUUAGGGAGAAAGCAUGAUAGGAAGGAAAAGCAGAGGAAACAGUACCCAGGAAGACCCGUAUUUGGAUCCUUGCUCUUCCACCAUGGAAGAAUAGAGUAUUUUUCAGGAAAUGUUCACUUCUUCCUCAUCUUCAUCUCCUUGGGAGGAUUUUCAUGUUGAGCUUGGCCAUAUGGCUUCUUUGGCUUGUGGAAGUGGACAGAGUGAAUGUGUGAGUUUCAUGACUAGGCCUUAAGUCACAUCACUUAUUUCUUCCCUCUACCAUGAGAACUACUUGCCCUGGAUAUCAUCUCGAUCCUAGAAAAAUGAGAGCCAGGUGGAGCUGAGCUGCUUCAGCUCACUCGCAGACCUGUAACUGGAAGCAGAGCCACCCCUGCCAACCCACAGAGGCAGCAAUAAGAAAUCAAUGCUUAUCAUUGAAUGCUUGUUUAUUACGCAUUUAUAAGUUGCUGACUGAUACAGCCAUUAAAUGUGUGUCAUUGGUCAAAUGACUUCACCUCUUGAAGUCUUGAUUUUUCCCAUCUGUAAACUGGGGAUGGCAAUCAUACCUCUCUGAAGGACUUCAUUAGCACUAGGUAAGGGGCCUGCAUGUAAAGCAUAGACCUUGGUGUGUGGAAAGUGCUCAGUAAGCAUCAUCUCCAUAAUCCUGUGGCUCAGCACCUUGCAGAGUGGAUACUACAUCUAAAUGAGCAGAGCAAAUUGAAGCUAUGCUGGUGUGAAGUUCUGGGUAGCAGCAGUAGAAAGGGCAGGGGUGGAGGUUAGGUGUCCCUCAGUAGCAUGGUAGAAAUGGUGGGGUGGGGGGUUGAUUUCUGUCUCUAGCACACUUAGAAGGACAGAAGCAGGAUACCCUGAUGGGGCCGCCUGAGUUGUCUUCAUCAUAACCUGAAUUUAUGAGCCAGUGCUGGCCUAACCUGCUGCCUGUUGGAGAGCCUCGGGAGAGACUUCCAGUCUUGUGUUUCCCACCCACUGGCUGUGUUCUAGUGAAUGACUCCUGUUCCAGACUCCCCUGCCUGCCACUGGGCCAACUUUCUGGCUGCCGUAGGGACAAAAGAGAGCUGUGGUUUUCUGCUGUGCAAAUCAAUCCCUUUCUGCCACAGUGUCCUGGGCAAAGCAAUGUUGAGGUCAUUCCCAUGAAUUGGCCAUCAUUAUCCCUGCAGUGCUGCUCCCUUCAGGUAUGUGACAAAGGUCACUACAGAGGACAUCUCCAUUACUCCCUGCUGGAUUAUAGGAGCUCAAAAUUCUUGUUAUUAGGGUUAUUAGGGGGCCUAAAUCAACUACCUUUCCCCAUGCAGGCCAGGAUCUCUUUAUCUUGCUUUGGCUCCCCUUUCUUUUCCCUGGGCCCUGAGAGGUAUAGAGUAUGGAGAUCACAAGCGGGGGUGCUCCUGCUGUCUUCUAUUUGUAUUUCUAGGAAUGUGUCUUCAGAGGUGGUAAGGGUGUUUAAAUGUCUGCCUGCCUUCUGCAUAAACACCUUAACAUGGCUCAAGAUCUGGCUCCAGAACAUCUUUCUUGCCACUCCCUCUGCCCCGUCACAGCUCCUGAAAGAGGCCAUUCACCCUUCUAUUCACCCAGGCCAUCACCAGUGCUUAUUGGGUGUGCCUCGUCUUAGGCACUGAGACGAAGAGCUGAUGAAGACAGAGUUCCUCCCUCUGAACUCUUCGCUGGCCUUCAGUACUCUCCAGGUUUUGUGCAUGUGGCUCUCCACCUUGGAAUGCUUUUCCUUCCCUCCCUCCCUUUCUUCCUUUCCUUCCUUCCUUCCAUCCGUCUUUCCCUUCUUCCCUGCCUCCCCUUCCACUCCCUCCCCACUAUUGCUCCUCCCUUGGUGGCCCAAGCCACAUCAUUUAAUAUUAAUCAGACCAGUGCUGGGGGCGGGAUGGUGGGGUGGGGAGGAAGGUCCCUCUAAUGAUUUACUCUGCAACUGGCAAUCCGUUAGACUGUGUGUUGGGGCUUAAUGUGUGAUUUCAUGCAUUUUCACGGUCUCUAAAUUGCAAAUCCAAGAUUAUUUGAAAACAUUUUAUUUAAUUUUCAUGCUUUUUUAAUCAAAAAGUUAAAAGAAUAAUAAUCUUUUAUGGGCAGUUAUAAGUGUGCUAUUUACACACAAGACAGAAAUAUCUCCCUUAGCUGAGCAAUCUAAGUGUGUGCUUAGAGAGGACUCCAUAAGAAUACUAAUGAGAAAAGGCAGAAUGUGCUUGGAGACAACUUAAUUCAUUCUUCUGGGAAAUGUCUGUCUAGGUGGAGUGGGAUUCUCCAGGUUCAUUCCUCAGCCCUACCAGCCUCUGCAGAUGGGAGGGACUUGGCGGUGAGCACCUGGUAGUUGUAGGGCUGCUGUCUGGGCCAUCUUUCCAUCCCUGGAGCCUCGCUUGGUGUCUGUCAUGUGGAAGGCAUGCAGGAAAUGUGUGUCGGUUAAGUGAGUAAACGGCUGAGUGAAGGAUUCUCCAUACUCUCCCUUGGCAGUCCAAGAUGAGAUCUGUACACAUUCUUUUUUUUUUUUUUUUUUUUUUUUCACAUUGCCAUUGGAGAUAGAAGCAGCAGACACAGCUGAGCUCCUGGCUUGGUGAAGGGCACACCAAGGGGAUGUGGGGUGCUGGGAUGUUUGCCAACUGUUUUUCACUUUUGUGAGAAUCAUUAUUUACCUAUUGCUUGAUUCAGAAUCCCAGACCUAGAAGGACUUUAGAAACUUGAAGUUCAGCUUUUUUACUUUACAAGAUGAAUGACAAAGUCAAAGUGAGGAAACUCCUUGAUAAAGGACAAAGCCAAGACUUAAAUCCCAGUAUCCUGCUCACUCCUAACUAGGUAGAGACAAUCUUUUUUUCCUCAUAUUAUUUCUUUCAUCUAUUGGUGUGUGCUAUCUCACCCAACUUUUCCCAAAUCCUGCACCUUCUGGGAUUGCUGGGGAUGACAGCAGCAUCUUUUUCCUUCCUCCUUCAACUUUGCACUGUUCUCUCUUCUGUGUAAGGAGUCUGGGGAUAAAACACUCUGGAAACCCAAGGAAACUGGACAAAGUCCUCUACAUCCAUAGGCCACACAUGUGGAUAAAGAGAGAUGCCAUCCUAUCUCUGCCUGGAAAGGAGACCCAGCCACACACACAGAACUGGUCUAGCUGAGGACUUCUGACAAACAUCUCCCCGUGGCAUUCACUUAUUCAUUCAUAGUUACCAAGUACCUACCAUGAGCCAAACACAAUGACAGCUGGAAAUUCAGACAGCAAAGCCAGAGUCCCUACUCUCAAGGACAGCCCAGUCUAGAGAGGAAGACAGUUUCCUGGCUGUGUUGUGGUGAGACACACACCAAAGGGAGCUUGGUGAGUGACAACGCCCAAUGGAGGUAAAAGUCCACCCCUAAAUAGAAAAAGUCCCAAAUUAAAUACUGUUGCUCCCCUCAGUGCUAUAUUCAACAUCUACUUUGACAUCCUUUUCAGUCAUUUAAAAGAUAGCUUGAAGCCUGCUCCUGGUGCUGAUGCACCCCAUGGAAGAAAGAUGGCUAGGAAUAUAUUGUUGUGGCAGGUAAGGGAUCUGUUAUGUACCUUAACACCUGGGUGCCUUGAGCUCCUGGUACCUGGUGAGUCUGGGCAGCUCUUAUGUUGGGACCAGACUGUUUUGAGCUGAUUAAAAAUAAUUGAAAAAUUUCCAAAGUGCACACAGAUGAUUUGUGGGCUCUAGUGUGUUGGUUGCGUGGGUGAGAGGAUAAAAUAUGUACUUGGUAUAAGUGAGCUUAAGUGGGAAGUUAAUGGUGUGUGAUUGAGCAGCAAUUACAGCCAAAUCUCAGUUCCCUGUGGUCACAGCAAGGGUGGGAGAUUUGUGGAGGACACAGAUAAAUAAAACAGAUAAGCAAGUAUCUCCUUUUAGACAGUAACUCCAACUUUUUUAUGGCUCAGCUUUUAGCCAGGGUGAUAACUCUAGGGCUAAACUGCCAGGAUGUGGGACUUGUCAUAUCCCAUUCCUGCCCACCCUGCUGGAAAGGGAAGGGCAGAGAGUUCAGAAGGAGGGGAGGACAACUACAAGAAGCUGUGAACCCUUAGGGACCAAGAGCUUUGUUCGUCUUACUUCUGGGUACCAGUGCCUAGCAGAGGGCUGGCCUGUAGUACCCCACGCUCUAUCAGAGUUUUGAGAUGAGUGAAUGGUCAGCCACAGCGUAAAUAACUCAUGGUGGAGUUGAUUGUCUGGGAGUUGAUUUUCUGGGAGCUGAUUAUAUGGAGGGAAGACAGAAAUGUUGUGGCUUAUUUUGAGAUCUAGCAAGAAAGCUUCAGGUCUGCUCAGGGAAAGAAGGGCUUCAUCCCUAGGAGUGAAACUGACCUGAGAAGAUACAGGAGCUAGUCAUUAUCCCUUCACUGACCUCAGGGUCUACAGGCUAAGUUCCUUUCAACAACCUGUGGGCAAGCAACCAGGACCUGCUAACCCCAACUGCUAGUCAUGAGCUCGGUAGGAAUGAACGUUUCUGUAGGAGCUUGUGAAACACACUGGUAGUUUGCUGUUGGCUUCCCUGUGUAUCCAUCACUCUGUCAGCAGUCAUGUGCCUGUGCUUCCGGAAUGACAGUCACUGAUUCAAGCUUUCAGUCAUGUGAGGCAAAGUCAGGACCAAGGUCGAGACACUCCCCAAAGGACAGGAAUUGCUGGGGCAGGCAGGAUUUGUGCUGGGAAAGCCAUAGGGGGAGGUGAGCUCCUGGACACACAUGAUAAUAUUGUGACAUAUCUACAGGCUUCACAGUGAGUGCGGCCCAGGUUGAAUGUACAAAUUGGUUAUCAAUGACACAAUCAGGGCUUCAUUAAGAGAUACAGGAAUUUGCCCUGUGCUUAUGAGUAGCAUGGGGUUGUGAGGAGCAUGGGAAAAAGGUUUUAAAAUGUCAUAGUUUCCCUUCUUGCCCUCACUUGCUUUCUCCCAGCUCUAUUGGAAAGGGAUAGAAUGAGUAAGCCAUUCUUUCAUGAGUAUUAAAGUCAGGGAAGACUUGGAUCCUCUCCUGGCUGGGCUGUGAUAAGCGACAUGAACUUGGGUGAAAUGCCAAAGGCUUUCUGAAUGAUUUUACUCGUCUGCAAGAUACAACACAAAUGCCCAACUCUGAAUUUAUUACUAAACAAUAAAAUAGAUGUAAAAUACAUAUCAUAGUGUCUGGCAUUCAGAAAUCUAUUGUUUAUCAUUCCAGGGUUUGUGAUGAUGCCAGGAGAUACCAUUAGGAUCUGUGCUGGGACCAGUUUCCUUUGAGAUGUCGUGUCGAGUAUCAUAAAGGCAUGAAAGCCAAAAAAUAUGCUUCCCUGGCCAAAUGUCCCUCCCUCUUUGCUAAUGACAAACCAGGGAGGUUGACCUUAGUAGCCAUGGAUAGCAACAUGCCAUAGAUGCUCCGUCAAGCCCCUGCCCAGUGCAUAGGUCUGCCACGAUCUGACUGAGGGGAGGGUGAGGAAGUUAGGAGGGGGCAUGGCAUGAAUGACCAGGGAGGGUGAAGUGCCUAUUGCAUGGGGUAAUGCUUUUGUCAGGGUGGGGAGAGGGAGUAGUGCCCCAGGUACCCAUUCUUUUGAGUAAUAAUGAUGUCAUCAUGACAGCCCUGUUAAAAUUCCCUGGUGGCAAAUACUGGGUUUCUAUUCAUCAUCUUCAUUAGAUUCCCAGUUCUGAUUGGGGCACUUUCUCUAAUGAUCUGGCCAAAACGUCCCCAGGGGCUAGCAUGGUGACUGCUAAUGUUUGGAACUGCCACACAUUGCUUUUUAAAAACUUUUUCUAAUUAGGAAAGCAAUUUCUUUUUUUUAUUAAAAAAUUUGCAUACCUGCUUCUCU
Long non-coding RNA from Chlorocebus sabaeus (green monkey), 6538 nucleotides. RefSeq lists it as uncharacterized. The record is from RefSeq and is a predicted model, not a curated record. NCBI's taxonomy places the organism in Eukaryota, Metazoa, Chordata, Mammalia, Primates, Cercopithecidae.